CUACGUGCCAGCAGCCGCGGUAAUACGGAAGGUCCAGGCGUUAUCCGGAUUUAUUGGGUUUAAAGGGAGCGUAGGCGGAUUGUUAAGUCAGCGGUUAAAGGGUGUGGCUCAACCAUACAUUGCCGUUGAAACUGGCGAUCUUGAGUGCAGACAGGGAUGCCGGAAUUCGUGGUGUAGCGGUGAAAUGCUUAGAUAUCACGAAGAACUCCGAUCGCGAAGGCAGGUGUCCGGGCUGCAACUGACGCUGAGGCUCGAAAGUGUGGGUAUCAAACAGGAUUAGAUACCCUGGUAGUCCACACAGUAAACGAUGUAUACUCGCGGUUUGCGAUAGACAGUAAGCCGCCAAGCGAAAGCAUUAAGUAUACCACCUGGGGAGUACGCCGGCAACGGCGAAACUCAAAGGAAUUGACGGGGGCCCGCGCAAGCGGAGGAACAUGUGGUUUAAUUCGAUGAUACGCGAGGAACCUUACCCGGGCUUGAACUAACGGUGACGAAUCUAGAGAUAG
Molecule: ribosomal RNA, 506 nt
Filed under: uncultured bacterium
Lineage: Bacteria
Description: bacterial SSU rRNA
Rfam family: Bacterial small subunit ribosomal RNA
Source: RNAcentral